Molecule: ribosomal RNA, 492 nt
Filed under: uncultured bacterium
Lineage: Bacteria
Description: partial 16S ribosomal RNA
Rfam family: Bacterial small subunit ribosomal RNA
Source: RNAcentral
AGUGAACGCUGGCGGUAGGCCUAACACAUGCAAGUCGAACGGCAGCACAGUAAGAGCUUGCUCUUACGGGUGGCGAGUGGCGUACGGGUGAGGAAUACAUCGGAAUCUACUUUUUCUUGGGGGAUAACGUAGGGAAACUUACGCUAAUACCGCAUACGACCUACGGUUGAAAGCAGUGGAUCUUCGGACCUUUCGCGAUUGAAUGAGCCGAUGUCGGAUUAGCUAGUUGGCGGGGUAAAGGCCCACCAAGGCGACGAUCCGUAGCUGGUCUGAGAGGAUGAUCAGCCACACUGGAACUGAGACACGGUCCAGACUCCUACGGGAGGCAGCAGUGGGGAAUAUUGGACAAUGGGCGCAAGCAUGAUCCAGCCAUACCGCGUGGGUGAAGAAGGCCUUCGGGUUGUAAAGCCCUUUUGUUGGGAAAGAAAAGAAGCAGGUUAAUACCCCGCUGUUCUGACGGUACCCAAAGAAUAAGCACCGGCUAACUUCGUG